This 200-nucleotide long non-coding RNA is filed under the name Carica papaya (papaya). RNAcentral describes it as "long non-coding RNA (CPAP_LNC006349)". Lineage: Eukaryota; Viridiplantae; Streptophyta; Magnoliopsida; Brassicales; Caricaceae. The record is from RNAcentral.
UUUACAGUUUAAAAGCAUGAUGAUAUCUGGUUUAUCAAUUUUAUAGUUUGAAUGAAUGAAUUGCUUCCUUACGUGACUACUGUUUGAUUGAAAAAUUGACAUAUGAUUGCAUUCCCUAAUGCAUGUUUGUUUGCUUAUGUGAUCAUGGUUGAUUUUGAAAAUUGAGACUAAAGGAAAACACUAAAGUUGUGUGAUUAAAU